This is a long non-coding RNA of Camelus dromedarius (Arabian camel), 186 nucleotides long. RefSeq lists it as uncharacterized. The transcript is spliced from 3 exons. The record is from RefSeq and is a predicted model, not a curated record. NCBI's taxonomy places the organism in Eukaryota, Metazoa, Chordata, Mammalia, Artiodactyla, Camelidae.
CGGGCCCAGGGGCAUCACCUGUGUGAGCCGUGGGACUGAGGGAUUCUUGGCCUCCAAGCUUCUGCUGGGCUGACUCAGCACCGGAAGGCCUGGUACCCAGUGACUGACGUAACCCCGACCCCGUGGAGGUGACUUCUCGCGGCCGCACCAGCUGUGAAAAGGCGCCACGUCCUUCAGCGGUUUUCA